Long non-coding RNA from Oncorhynchus keta (chum salmon), 3025 nucleotides. RefSeq lists it as uncharacterized. The record is from RefSeq and is a predicted model, not a curated record. Lineage: Eukaryota; Metazoa; Chordata; Actinopteri; Salmoniformes; Salmonidae. The transcript is spliced from 3 exons.
AUGGCGAGAGAAGGGGGGAUGGGGGUAGAGGUGCUUUUUGAAGUUUAACUGAAAUUUCCUGGAUGCCGAUUUAAGCCUAAUCCUGGAAUGAAAAGCUAUUUCAAUGUACAUUCUUCAGGACUAUGCUUAAUUGGUCUCCAGGAAACUGUCCCUAAGAGUUUGAACUCGAGGUCAUUAACCUAUUUUCAUGGUUUGAAAAGAGGCGAAGGUAAAUCCCCAGGGCAGUCGAUGCAGAGUACCAAUGGUCAUAGCCAGGGCCCGUAAAGCGUCUGAGUAGGAGUGCUGAUCUGAGAUCAGUUUUAACCUUUUUGAAUCAUAUGAAUAAGAUGUGUCAACUGAUCCUAGAUCAGCACUCCUAUACCGAGAUGCUUUAUGGAUUUAGUUUGGUCUUGUUCUUUCAGUAGAACAGGACGUCUCACAAGAAGGACUUAGUGACUGAACUGUGCAUCGUUCAUAAAAUAGUGUUUUACAUUUUCUGAGUGGGCAGUAGAAGUGGCAUUGUAAUCGGGGACUAGUAUUUUACUCACAUUUCAUUAUCUGUAAGAACUGACAGAUGCUCCCAAAAACCUGUUUUUAUGUAUUUCAGCUUUGUAUAACAGACCGGUUUAGACCUAUGACCUAUGACCUGUGUUGAGGUUCCACAUUUUUAGCAAUGACUUCUCUUUUGACUUCUCUUUUUAGAUGCUAUUAUUUCUUUCCUACAAGUUAUUUCCUCAAGUUGUGACAAGGGUACAACAUCAAAAUACGCCCACCUGAACAUUUAACAUGGAUCCAUGUGGAUUCAAAUGUAACUGUGGCUUCAGCUGCAGGGCGUAUCCUAAAUGGCUCCCUAUAUAGUGCGGGUCAAUAGUAGUGCAUUAUAUAGGAAAUAGGGUUCCAUUUGAGAAGCAUGGAGAGAUGUCACGUAGAACACUGAGACAACUCUGUUCUUACCGGUGUCCAACGAGAGCUCUUUCAAUAAAGAAUCAACUCCUGUUUGAAUCGAUCUGUACUUGUCACUCUGUGUGACGGAAAUGUCCAUUUUUAUUAGGUGACUCACAUCGAGUGAUGGACUGUGAGGUUUUACAAUAACUUCUAGAAAUUGCAUAGAUGAACUCUAUCAAAUGUAUUUUAUAAUGCACUUUUUACAUCAACAUUUGUCACAAAGUGCUUUACAAAUACACAGCUGAAAACCCCAAAGAGCAAGCAAUGCAGAGACAGAAGCACAGUGGCUGGGAAAAACUCCCUAGAAAAUGCAGGAACCUAGGAAGAAAUCUAGAGAGGAACCAGGCUCUGAGAGGUGGCCAGUCAUUUUCUAGCUGUGCCAGGUGGAGGUUAUAAGAGUACAUGGCCACUAAAGCCAAAACAUUCAUAGAUGGUCAGAUAAUAGUACCAGUGGUUAUAGAGGGUGCAACAGGUCAGGACUAAAAGUCAGUUGGCUUUUCAUAGCUGAGCAUUCAGAGGUCGAGACAGCAGGUGAGAGAGCGAAAUAGAGACAGAGGGAGUUGAAAUAGCAGGUCCGGGACACGGUCAGGGUUCCAUAGCUGCAGGCAGAGCAGCCGUACAACCAGGUGGAACAGCCAGGAGUCAUCAGGUCAGGUAGUCCUGAGGCAUGGUCCUUGGGCUCAGGUCCUCCGGGAGGGGAGAGAGAGCGAGACCACUCUUCUAGAUGUAUGUACCUUAGAGUUGUACAAUGACAGAUCCCAAGCUUUUAAUUCCUGUAUUCAUGACAGGGUUUGAGCCCGAGUAGGCCUACAGUACAGCUUAGUGUUUUAUAGCAGUUUUGUAAUACUACUAAUGUCCAAUAGGUGGCAAUGUUGUUUUCCACUGUCUUGAAACAAUUGCAUUUGUGCUACCAUAGUAGCUAUUUAUCCUGCUUACUUUUUAGUAAUGCUGAAAACCCUACUGUAAAUGUUUAGUGCAUACUGGUACUUGCUAGGUCAAUGUGUUAGUAGCUUUAAUAAAAAUGGGAAUUGGAAACAGGAAAUUGCAAUCCUGCUCAUGUUGAUUUUUACUUAAUUUGUUUUUGUUGGGGGGUGGGGUUAUUACAAUGUUAAUUCUACUGAGCCAUUUACUUUGUGUUGGUUUUCUUAUCUUUUCUUAUUUCUUAUUAUUGUUGCAUUGUUCAGAAGGAACCUGCAAGUUAACAUUUCGCUGGAUGAUGUAUACCAUGUGUAUCCUAUACAUACGACUAAUAAAACUCUAAGCUUGCUGUGCUCUCUGGCCUCUGGGGGGAUACCUUCUAGUACGUCUCAAAUGGCACCCUAUUCCCUAUAUAGUGCACUACCCUUAAAAGUAGUACACUAUAUAGGGUGUAAUUUGUUCUAGAUACUGACUAGAACUGAGGGAGGGUGCAGAGAGAGGACUCAGACUGGAGCUGGUGAAGGUGCAGAGAGAGGACUCAGACUGGAGCUGGUGAUGGUGCAGAGAGAGGACUCAGACUGGAGCUGGUGAUGGUGCAGAGAGAGGACUCAGACUGGAGCUGGUGAUGGUGCAGAGAGAGGACUCAGACUGGAGCUGGUGAUGGUGCAGAGAGAGGACUCAGACUGGAGCUGGUGAUGGUGCAGAGAGAGGACUCAGACUGGAGCUGGUGAUGGUGCAGAGAGAGGACUCAGACUGGAGCUGGUGAUGGUGCAGAGAGAGGACUCAGACUGGAGCUGGUGAUGGUGCAGAGAGAGGACUCAGACUGGAGCUGGUGAUGGUGCAGAGAGAGGACUCAGACUGGAGCUGGUGAUGGUGCAGAGAGAGGACUCAGACUGGAGCUGGUGAUGGUGCAGAGAGAGGACUCAGACUGGAGCUGGUGAUGGUGCAGAGAGAGGACUCAGAGUAUAAUGGAAAAAGUGUGUUAAAAGAUGCUUAAAAUGUAUUCAAAUACCAUUAUUACCAAUUAUUAAUACCAAUUAUUAAAAUUAUUCUGAUUGUUGAAUUGUGUUUAGGAAACAAAGAUGUUAUCAUGUGUGUGUAUAGUGUGUACAUGUAUGUUAUGGGUGUACCAAGAGACCACUUAUUUCGGACGAGCAAUGUUUUCAAAUUUGUAAUGUUUGCA